This 467-nucleotide ribosomal RNA is filed under the name uncultured bacterium. RNAcentral's name for it is "bacterial SSU rRNA". It matches the Rfam family "Bacterial small subunit ribosomal RNA", at positions 29 to 524 of the family's 1533-position model. The record is from RNAcentral.
ACGAACGCUGGCGGCAGGCCUAACACAUGCAAGUCGAGCGGCCGUAGCAAUACGGCAGCGGCGCACGGGUGAGUAACGCGUGGGAACCUGCCCUUCGGUUUGGAACAACCCUGGGAAACUAGGGCUAAUACCAAGUACGCCCUCCGUCCCGAAAGGGAUGAAGGGGAAAGAUUUAUCGCCGAAGGAGGGUCCCGCGUCCGAUUAGCUAGUUGGUGGGGUAACGGCCUACCAAGGCUACGAUCGGUAGCCGGUCUGAGAGGACGAUCGGCCACACUGGGACUGAGGCACGGCCCAGACUCCUACGGGAGGCAGCAGUGGGGAAUAUUGGACAAUGGGCGCAAGCCUGAUCCAGCCAUGCCGCGUGGGUGAUGAAGGCCUUCGGGUUGUAAAGCCCUUUUGGCGGGGACGAUGAUGACGGUACCCGCAGAAUAAGCCCCGGCUAACUUCGUGCCAGCAGCCGCGGUAAU